UAAUUAGGUGAAUAAGUUCACCUCAUGGUUCCCUAACUUCCAUUCUCCUUUCUUUCCCUCAAUCCAAACAAGUCCUAAGCGUCGAGAAACAAAUCCAAUCAAAACUCUCGUCUUCGUUCCGAACAUGAUCAUCCCUAAUUCGAUUCGAAAACACUCAAUUUCAAGCCCCAAGCCCAUCGAAUAGCUUGGGUAGGGUUUUACCACGAGACCUAGCGAAAAAGGGUUUUGAAGCUUGAGAAGAUGGAAGGAAAAUUGAAGCCGAAAGUGCUCGCGCACAAAAGACCAAAGUCACAGAAACGAAAGUGAUGAGCAUCAUAUCCAAUCCGUGUCUGAUGCAUUUGCACCUCUGCCUCUAAUCGUUUAGCAAGGAUUAUCUUGUGGGUCUCAGCGCCCCCCCACCCCCGCACACACCCCCACCCCAAUUUGAUAGUCAUCUAGACUAUUGCAGACUAUCAUUGUAUUUUAAUCAUAGCCGAGAUGUUUGAUAUAUCAGCAAAAUGUUGGAUAGCAGGUUCCUAAUAUGUUUCCUAAUUUGUUUUUGUAACAGGUUAUUGAGAUUCCUAAU
This is a long non-coding RNA of Asparagus officinalis (garden asparagus), 565 nucleotides long. RefSeq lists it as uncharacterized. The record is from RefSeq and is a predicted model, not a curated record. Lineage: Eukaryota; Viridiplantae; Streptophyta; Magnoliopsida; Asparagales; Asparagaceae. The transcript has 3 exons.